AGGAAAGGAAAUUCAACACUCUGGUGCAUUCACCCUGUGAACAAGCUUUAUUUUAUUCCAGGGGAAACAAACUGAAAUUUCAGUGUAGGCAAGAUGGCUGUUUCUGUCGCAGAAACAUUGAGAAUAUCCCUUAGCAGAAUGUAACUCUUAAUCAGGGUUGUUUAUUCACGCCGGGAGCACGGCAGGUCACGCUGCUCACUUGGUGCCAUUUGGUCUGCCCUGAGCCUUCCUGGACAGGAAGUCCUUAAGAUUAAAGAUUAUAUUUUUAUGGUCUCAUGCCUGCCUACUCCAAGCUAUUAACUGAAGAGAAAUGUAACUAGAAGUCAAUUUGUAGAAAGGAUAUUAACGGUCUUUGGUGUGUGUCACAAUGAAAAAUAGGAAGGAAUCAAGGUGGAGUAGUGGAGAGAAGAAACCAGCUUGGUUAUUGUUUGGAGUAUUGGAAAUAAGAGUAUUUCUGUGUGGAAGCGGAAUUGUCAUUGCAUAUGUAAUUAAAACAAAAUUGAUAAAAAACGUAGAUAUUAGGAUAUUAACAGGUAGGCCAUAUAAAGGAUUUCAUCUUACUUACUCCGGCUGCCUUUUUCAAAGCACUCUUUUUCCAAAGGAAUGUGCAGGAGAGAGAGGCUGUUUUCUUUGUUUGUUUUUCAGUUGUACUUGAUGCUGUGACGUAUCCUACAAUUGUCUAAAUGCAACGCGUUUUGAAAAUGUCAUUUCUUCACACCAGCCUGGUGGGUGACCUGUGGUUCUGCAUUUGAUAAACAUGCCCCUUGGGUUUAUAUUUUUGCAUUUACUGUUUGUCAAGAAGGUGGCUGUUUCAUGCCAGGGUCUGAGAAGCCGCGCUGGUUGAGGACUGGGACUAUUUUCCUGUGAACAUGCGAGGAAGGUUUGCUCCGUGUCCUCCUGGAAUGUGCUCUCCAGGGAAACUUUCCGGUGGUGAGAUCACUCCUGCAUGUAUGAAUCUUUGUUCUGAUACUUCCGACCGCAGUUCAUGCACAUAACCAGUGAAACGUGAAACAGGUUCCAUGGUGAGCAAGAAAUUCUGGAGGUUAUUCUGUUGUCCCCUGCAUCACAACUUAGGCCAACAUAGCAGCAGUCUCAAUGUCAUCAUCCUCCAUAGGUAUACUUUAUUGUUUUGUCACCUUUUUUUUUUUGAGAAAGAGAAAAUGAGACAUCACUUACUACUCUUAGUUGCUUCCCCAUGUUUCUUUUGCUUCAGAGCCAAACUCGUUAAUGAACAAGUUACAGAACACGGGGAAAAAACAAAGUACCUGGCUUGGUUUAGGCUCUGACAAGUAUUCCUUAUGGGAAAUCUGUGAAUGCACUGGGUGGAUUCUCACAGGUAUCGGUCUGGGCCAGCGCAUCCUUGCCAGAAGACAGUGAAUCUACACCCAAGAUCUGAGAUUGCUGCCAGUGCACAAGAAAAUAGAAAAAAAGAAGCCCAGUGAUAAAAGACAUGUGGAAUAUUGUUCACCUGAAUGCAGUAAAUUAAAGAAAGUCAACCACAGUGAUCACAGAGUGAAAAAACAACAAACAAAAAGCUACCCAAACUAAUUAAAAUUUUAACACUCUCCCCACCCCCACCCUUAACCCUAGCAGCUUUGAUUGACAUUUCAUAGUUAAGCUAGUCCAUUUGUUUUUAAAGCCAAAGUUCCCACAGCAUAAAAAUAGCACAAUAGCCCCUGCUUGGCAGCUUGUGGACAAGUGCAAGGAGCUUGGAGAAGCGCUGAUGGUUCUAUUGAAGAAGCAGCUGUUUGUGUCUUCACUUCUGACCCGUGGCCGCACUCUGGGCUGGCUGUGCUCAAAGGUCUUUCACUCUCCCCCCUCCAAGCGGCUUGCUAUUCACAAAACAGAAGCCAGGCGUGUGUUGGUUUCAGCUACUUCCAGAAGCAGAUGCGGCAAUUACCUUCAGAGGCAAGCAUGAGAUGAACUUUGAGUGGUGGCCGGCUUUUAGGAUGGUGGUCCAUCCAAGGAGACUUUUAUUGCUGGUAAUCCUUUUAGAUCUUCAGCACCAAUUGAUGGUCUUUACUUCAAGCUAUUGUCAACACAGAUGGCGCUGGGUUUGGAAUGCCAGAGGCAGACAAAUCCUGCCUGUGUUUAUCCAGUUUUAACUUUUGUGCUAAGCGAUUGAACUAUGAAUGCUAGCAACAAAGAAACAAAAAGAAAGAAUAUUUCCAUCAGAUGUUAUCUGUUCAUUGUGAAAACUAAUUAGGACACCUACACAGACUCACAGAUAGGCUAAUGUUAAAUGAUUAUAUAUAUCUAUACAUCCAUAUAUA
This is a long non-coding RNA of Homo sapiens (human), 2273 nucleotides long. The record is from Ensembl. NCBI's taxonomy places the organism in Eukaryota, Metazoa, Chordata, Mammalia, Primates, Hominidae.